GGUGUUGACUCAAGACCGAAAUACAGCCUGCAUCUUACCGUGGAGGGCGGACCUACCCCUCCUCGUACCUAUUAAACAUCUGUUUUACUCCCCUUGAGGUUUUAAGUUCACAGGAUGGCCCGCAGGAGCAACAUCACUCAAACACGCUUAUGAGGAAACAUCAUGACACCCUGUGACGCACUGCUGAACUUUUGGGGACUGGAGAGCAUGAAUCAGAAGCGCUACUGGUCCUUGAAAAAGAUACGCCUCGAGAAAGAACAUCAAGUACUGGCCCAACAGAACCGUGAAGGGGACUGCCACUGAUUGCCUUUAUUGUUUUGACAUCCUAUAUUGCGGCGGGUGUUGUGUAUGCGUCGCGAUGCGCAUUGUGUCUUGGGCCACCAGGUUGCAGGGGCUCACCCCCUACCUGCUCAGUCAUUGGUUCAUGCUGUGAAGGGGUGGAGUGUGGUGGAAUUGCAGGGUCACAGCCUGAACCAAUGGGUGGGCUCUGUGAGUGUGUGAGUGCGGCGGCGCGGCGGUACGAACGGGGGAGGGACACAUUCCUCAGCUCGGCUCGGGCUGCGCGCUGCUACCGGGAGGGGAGCUCUGGAGGUUGGAUACAGCAAAUGCAAGAAUCCUGAUCACCACCUAAUGCGUGCUGCAGGUGUGAAGCUGAAAGUCCAUUGCCUCCUUUCCAAGACAGGUGCAGUGGCUGAAGAAACCAGGGUCCUCAGCUGCUCCUCGUACAUCUUGCCCUCUCGACCCUUCUCCGUCUUCAUAGUGCUGCCCUGGAUGUGUGUCCUCCUCAUAUUGUGAUGCCCACAUCACAUCAAUGCUGGCUACAGAAGACAGAG
Molecule: long non-coding RNA, 833 nt
Filed under: Gallus gallus (chicken)
Lineage: Eukaryota; Metazoa; Chordata; Aves; Galliformes; Phasianidae
Description: lncRNA (ENSGALG00010002320.1)
Source: RNAcentral